GAUGAACGCUAGCGGCAGGCUUAAUACAUGCAAGUCGAGGGGCAGCACAGAUAGCAAUAUUGGGUGGCGACCGGCAAACGGGUGCGGAACACGUACGCAACCUUCCCAAAACAGGUGAAUAGCCCUCCGAAAGGAGGAUUAAUACACCGUAAGAUAUAGAGGUGGCAUCAUUUUUUAUAUUAUAGGUCGCAAGAUCGGUUUUGGAUGGGCGUGCGCCUGAUUAGGUAGUGGUGUGGGUAACGGCCCACCAAGCCUUCGAUCAGUAACUGGUGUGAGAGCACGACCAGUCACACGGGCACUGAGACACGGGCCCGACUCCUACGGGAGGCAGCAGUAAGGAAUAUUGGUCAAUGGACNCAAGUCUGAACCAGCCAUGCCGCGUGCAGGAUGAA
Molecule: ribosomal RNA, 392 nt
Filed under: uncultured bacterium
Lineage: Bacteria
Description: bacterial SSU rRNA
Rfam family: Bacterial small subunit ribosomal RNA
Source: RNAcentral